RNAcentral lists this ribosomal RNA (465 nucleotides) under uncultured bacterium. Its description in RNAcentral is "partial 16S ribosomal RNA". It matches the Rfam family "Bacterial small subunit ribosomal RNA", at positions 28 to 507 of the family's 1533-position model. The record is from RNAcentral.
GACGAACGCUGGCGGCGUGCUUAACACAUGCAAGUCGUACGGUAAGGCCCUUUCGGGGGUACACGAGUGGCGCACGGGUGCGUAACACGUGAGUAACCUGCCCACAACUUUGGGAUAACGCUAGGAAACUGGUGCUAAUACUGGAUAUGUGCUCCUGCUGCAUGGUGGGGGUUGGAAAGCUCCGGCGGUUGUGGAUGGACUCGCGGCCUAUCAGCUUGUUGGUGGGGUAGUGGCCUACCAAGGCGGCGACGGGUAGCCGGCCUGAGAGGGUGACCGGCCACAGUGGGACUGAGAUACGGCCCAGACUCCUACGGGAGGCAGCAGUGGGGAAUAUUGCACAAUGGGCGCAAGCCUGAUGCAGCAACGCCGCGGGCGGGAUGACGGCCUUCGGGUUGUAAACCGCUUUCAGCAGGGACGAAGCUUUUUGUGACGGUACCUGCAGAAGAAGCACCGGCUAACUACGUG